AAGGAAUUAGAAAGGAUGAUUUCAAGUAUAAAUAGGAAGAAUAAUAGAAAGAAGGGCAGAAAGAGAAUUAUGGAUUCCAAGAAGAAAAGAGGAAGAAGAACUAUGGUUUUGCCAAGCAGGAAGAAGAAAUAGAGCUUAAAUACAGAGAAGAAAAGAAACAGAAGAAAAAGAAGGGAAAAGAAAGAAAAUUAGAGGAAAAGAAGGAAGAGAGAGAAUAAUUAGAAGGAAGAAGAAAGACAGGAAAAACAGAAAGAAACCUGAAUCUGGACAUGGAU
RNAcentral lists this unclassified non-coding RNA (275 nucleotides) under Hevea brasiliensis (rubber tree). The record is from RNAcentral. Lineage: Eukaryota; Viridiplantae; Streptophyta; Magnoliopsida; Malpighiales; Euphorbiaceae.